This 496-nucleotide ribosomal RNA is filed under the name uncultured bacterium. RNAcentral's name for it is "partial 16S ribosomal RNA". It matches the Rfam family "Bacterial small subunit ribosomal RNA", at positions 28 to 506 of the family's 1533-position model. The record is from RNAcentral.
GAUGAACGCUGGCGGCGUGCCUAAUACAUGCAAGUCGAGCGAACAGACGAGGAGCUUGCUCCUCUGACGUUAGCGGCGGACGGGUGAGUAACACGUGGAUAACCUACCUAUAAGACUGGGAUAACUUCGGGAAACCGGAGCUAAUACCGGAUAACAUGUUGAACCGCAUGGUUCAACAGUGAAAGACGGUUUUGCUGUCACUUAUAGAUGGAUCCGCGCCGCAUUAGCUAGUUGGUAAGGUAACGGCUUACCAAGGCAACGAUGCGUAGCCGACCUGAGAGGGGGAUCGGCCAACCGGAAACGAGGACCCGGUCCAGGCCCCUAGGGGAGGAAGAAGUGGGGAAUUUUCCGCAAUGGGGGAAAGCCUGAGGGAGCAACGCCGGGGGAGUGAAGAAGGUUUUGGGAUCUUAAAACUUUGUUAUAGGGAAAAAAAAAAUGUGUAAAUAAAUUUGCACUUUUUGCCGGGACCAAAGCAAAAAGCCACGGCAAAAUACGU